RNAcentral lists this ribosomal RNA (253 nucleotides) under uncultured bacterium. RNAcentral describes it as "partial 16S ribosomal RNA". It matches the Rfam family "Bacterial small subunit ribosomal RNA", at positions 524 to 776 of the family's 1533-position model. The record is from RNAcentral.
UACGAAGGGGGCUAGCGUUGCUCGGAAUCACUGGGCGUAAAGCGCACGUAGGCGGCUUUUUAAGUCAGGGGUGAAAUCCUGGAGCUCAACUCCAGAACUGCCUUUGAUACUGGGAAGCUUGAGUCCGGAAGAGGAGAGUGGAAUUCCUGGUGUAGCGGUGAAAUGCGCAGAUAUCAGGAGGAACACCCGUGGCGAAAGCGGCUCUCUGGGACGGUACUGACGCUGAGACGCGAAAGCGUGGGGAGCAAACAGG